Pantherophis guttatus is the source of this 2470-nucleotide non-coding RNA. The record is from RefSeq and is a predicted model, not a curated record. NCBI's taxonomy places the organism in Eukaryota, Metazoa, Chordata, Lepidosauria, Squamata, Colubridae.
GUGCUGAGUUCAACGCUGCGCUCGGUCUACUCGCAACAAUGCACAACGCCCAUCCUUGUCUCUUCCCAACGGGCCUGUGUGGGAAGAAUGGAACAAGGAGCUGUUUAAACAAAACAAAAGCAUCCCUAUACCCUGUGGCUGUUGCACCUUAAACUUUACACGUAAGAGCUGAUUUCUCCUAUGCCAGAAGCCUGAAGAAUUUCUACAAGAUCCAGAGAUGUGAAAGAUAAGAUUACACUGUAAUUGUGGGACCAGCUUUUUCCUGUUUCCUGAAGGACAGAAAGCUGGUACUUGCUGCUAACCUCAGCCAAUAUGAGAAGACAAGUUUUAUGGAUGCCCGAGAUUGCUAUAAUGCCUGUGUCAGCUCAGGACCAAGUGAUCCUCCUGAAGAGAAAUGGUUUCUUUGGCUCCUCUUGCAUUGUUCUUUUGACCAUGUUUGAAGAAAAAAAAAAAAAUUUACUGUCUUAUUUCACGAUUUUUGCAUUUAUGACUGACUUUCCUCGGUAGAAGAUGAGUUUAACCCAAAUAGAUCUGAUCAUUUAUCACAAAAGAGAUCCAACCCUGUGUAAAGAUCCCAUUGGGAGUAAUGAAAACCAAACUGCAAAAAAUGCUACAUUUCUGAAAAAGGUGACCAGAAUGCAGCUCAGAACAGAGAUGAAAGGAAAAUAAAGCAGGACCCAUUAGUAUACCCCUGGAUAAUUUGUUGUACAUAACAAGGUUUCUAACCUCCAUCUAUGGAAUCAUGGAACUGCAACAAACACUUCAUCUUACUUUCUUCUGAGUUAGGUUUAUUGGCUUAUUUAUUAGAUUUCUAUGCUGCUUUUCGUCCAGAGCUUACAGAGAUGCAUAGAAUACUCUGUCCUCUGUCCACCUGCCAACUUAAUAUUGCUUAAUAAAUCUCCAUACUUAAACUGGGUUUCCCAUAUUUUAAUCCAGCACCUUAACCACCAUGCCACUAGUCCCUUGCAGUUGGCUAGAAUUGGUUUAUUAUUACUGGGAUAUAUGUUAUCCCAGUAUAUGUGAAGUAAAGAAAUUAUGGAGGGCAGACAUGCUAGUCUAUGGUAGUAAAAAAAACCAGGUAGUAAAAAAGGUAGUAUUGUAUCAGGUAAUAAAAAUAUCUAUACUGUAGCACCUUUUAACAACUUUAUUAAAAGUUGUAUGUUUUCAUGAGCUGUAGAUCACUGCAUUAGAUGCAUAGAGUAGCUAGACUGAUGAAGGAUUUAAAUGGGGUGAAAUGGGAGAGAGGGGAAGGUAGGUUGAUUAUGCACUCACACGUGAGACAUUACAAGUACAUGUACUAUAUCAGUUAACAAUUACAAUAAAUUAAAAACUCACUGGGUUUCUUGGGAAUCUUCUAAUAUUUAUGUGAAUGGAGAGAAAGGAGAAGAUCCAUUGUUUGAAUUGUGAUUUGCUUAAUAUAUGUAGGGCAUUUUCCAUGUAUUAGAAUUUUAUUUGGGAUCCUCAUGAAAGAGGAUAUUUAUGCAAUGUUUUGUUUGUCACAAAUAGUCACAAUAUUUUUUAGAGAGUUUCUAGAGACAACUCAAUCAAUCAAUCAAUCAAUCAAGGUGAAGGUUCGUUCUCUGAGCUUAUGGGUUGGCUUCCAAAUGUUUUGUUACCAGGGUAGGUAACAUCUUCAGUGGAGUUUAGGAGAUGUCAGUGUCAGUGUUCUUCUGUUUAUAAGGGCUUCAGGUGUUGGUGUGUCAAGUGAGGGUCUAGUGAUGGGUCAAGAGUGAGUCAUCAUUGAGUCUUGUGAUGGGUCUUGUAAUGAGAUUACAUCAAGUCAGGGUCAUUGGGAGGUGAACUGCUGGUGGGGUUGUGUGGGUUGGUGCUGUCUCUGGUUGGCUGUGCCGGUUGAUUUGGAUUCUGAGGGGUUUAUAGGCUGGUUGUAGGUCAAUGUGUUUGUUGAUGGAAUCGCUUGUGGAGUGCCAAACUUUGAUGAACGCAUGAGUGUGGUGGGCAGUAGUGUGGCCGAUGAUUUUUGUGUUGCUCCAAUUGAACUAGUGCUGUUUGGUGUCGGUGUGAGUAGAGAUUAAGAAUUUGGUAUCAUGGCGUUUGACUGCCAGCUAGUAUUUGUGGGUCCUGGUUUUUAAUUGAUGUGAUUUUUGUUCCAUGCAGAAUUGGUUGCAAUGGUUAAAAUUGAUUUUGUAGAUUACAUUGUUUCUUUCAUCCCUCUGUAUUUUGUCUUUGGUUCUGGAUAGUUCCUGGCGGAGUGUGGCUGCGGGUUUGUGGACUACUACCAUUCCUAGGGGUUGGAGGAUUCUGGCUGUCAUUUCCGACACCCCUUUUGUGUAUUUCGCAAAUGACAGCCAGAAUCUUCCAACCCCUUGGAAUUACAUUGAUUACAUUUUUCUUUCAUCCUUCUGUAUCUUGUCUUUGGUUCUGGAUAAUGCCUUCUGGAUAAUUCCACACUCCACUGAAGAUGUUACCUAGCCUGGUAAUGAAACGUUUGGAAACCAACCCACAAACUCGG